AGGUGCGAUCAUACCAGCACUAAUGCACCGGAUCCCAUCAGAACUCCGCAGUUAAGCGUGCUUGGGCGAGAGUAGUACUAGGAUGGGUGACCUCCUGGGAAGUCCUCGUGUUGCACCUUUUU
This 122-nucleotide ribosomal RNA is filed under the name Cicer arietinum (chickpea). The record is from RNAcentral. Lineage: Eukaryota; Viridiplantae; Streptophyta; Magnoliopsida; Fabales; Fabaceae.